UCGCGAAGGGGGUGUGAGAACGCGUUGAAGGAAAUUGCCCCAGGGUUGGUUAAAGCUAUGCAAACGCAGUGGGCUUCCGCGAAUGCAAAGAAGGCUGGGUCCCAAGGCUAUGAGAACUCGAAGGACCUGUGCGUUCGCAUAGAGUACUGGGCCUAUGCACAAAUUGCAGAAAAUCUGCUAAGUCUUUAAGAACAAAACCACCCCGAACGACCUCCAAAAUCACUCCCGAGCCCUCGGGGCUCCCAACAGAACACACACUAACUCAAUAUCAUCCUACGAACUUGCUCAAGCGAUCAAAUUGCUAGAAUAACAUCAAAAUCAAAGAAUCAACCUCCAAAACUCAUAAUUUCAUUUCAAAGUUCUUAACUUCCAAAUUUUCCAUUUUUUAGUCCGAAAUACGUCAAACAAAGUCCGAUUUCGACCAAAUAUUACAGGAAGCUCUUAAAUCACAUAUGUGACCUGUAUCGGGCGUCGGAACCAAAAUACGAGCCCGAUACCAGUACUUUUUGAUCAAAUUUUAAUAUUUUCAGAAAAUAAUUUCAUGGAAAAAUUCUUUUCUUGGGCCUGGGACCUCGAAUUUCGAUUUCGGGAAUACGUCCGAGUCCCAUAUUUUCCUGCGGACCCUCCGGGACCGUCACAUUACGGGUUUGGGUCCGUUUACCUAAAAUAUUGACCAAAGUCAACUAUAUCAAUAUUAUUAUCAAAAUUCAUAGUUUUGUAUUUCCACAUAAAAAUUUUCCGGAUUCGCGCCCAGACAGCGCAUGGAAAACGAAGCGACCAAAUAAGAGGUUUUCAAGGCCUCGAAAGCACAGAGAAAGGGAGAAUUACAGUGACGACCCUCUGGGUCAUCACAGAGGGAGGGAGCAGCCCGAGCUAUUAUUUGGUUUCAUUCCAUGUCCCUCUUCCUUACCUGUAUUUUUGUGUGUGGUUAUAAUGAUGAUUUGGCAUGACAGAUUUAUCGGCUGUCUUUGUAGG
Molecule: long non-coding RNA, 975 nt
Filed under: Nicotiana benthamiana
Lineage: Eukaryota; Viridiplantae; Streptophyta; Magnoliopsida; Solanales; Solanaceae
Description: long non-coding RNA (NBEN_LNC032723)
Source: RNAcentral